RNAcentral lists this ribosomal RNA (253 nucleotides) under uncultured bacterium. RNAcentral's name for it is "partial 16S ribosomal RNA". It matches the Rfam family "Bacterial small subunit ribosomal RNA", at positions 524 to 776 of the family's 1533-position model. The record is from RNAcentral.
UACAGAGACUGCAAGCGUUAUUCGGAUUCACUGGGCGUAAAGGGUGCGUAGGCGGUCGGGUAAGUCUGACGUGAAAUCUUCAAGCUCAACUUGGAAACUGCGUCCGAUACUAUUCGGCUAGAGGAAUGGAGGGGAGACUGGAAUACUUGGUGUAGCAGUGAAAUGCGUAGAUAUCAAGUGGAACACCAGUGGCGAAGGCGAGUCUCUGGACAUUUCCUGACGCUGAGGCACGAAAGCCAGGGGAGCAAACGGG